RNAcentral lists this long non-coding RNA (836 nucleotides) under Homo sapiens (human). Its description in RNAcentral is "non-protein coding lnc-BLID-3:4". Lineage: Eukaryota; Metazoa; Chordata; Mammalia; Primates; Hominidae. The record is from RNAcentral.
GCACUGCACCCGGCGAGUUACCUGGAAUACGUUUACUAAAUCGACAGGAAGAAGGAAAGAUCAAUGCGAUUCAAGUGCUGACGGUUGUACUCGUGAAGGAAAAAAACAAAUGCAAGCCGGGAAGUCCCCAGUGGUGCCUGCACCUAGGAGGCGACUGCAACGGAUGGAUGCGGGGGUAGAUAAUCAGCAACCCCCCAAGACUGUGCCUGCUGCACAACUACAGAACGCAGUGGAAGACACGCUGAAUUCUGAGUCAGAAGGUUGACUUUCUAGCUGUGGGGACUUGGCCAAACCUCCUCAGAGCUUCAGUUUUCUCAUCUGUAAAAUAGAGAUCUUAAUCCCUACCAAUCUCACAGGACUGCUGAGAGUAUCAGAUGAGGUAAGUAUAUAAAAUAGCUGUGCAAAUUUGUGUGAAGGCCUCCAGAGAGAAAUAGUGCAUGCAGGUGGCAUUAGAAACAUAGAUUCUAGUCCUGGCUUUGCAACCAAAUUAUUAUGUAAUUUUUUGUCUUGAUCAUCUUGUCUCUUACGAUUUCUUCAUAAGUUAAAUGAAAAGACACCUUUCAGCCCUGACCACUCCCAAACCUUCAGGACCCCCACUGGGUUGUGAGAUAGGAGCAGCCACAGGCAAGGUCACCCAGGACAGGAGUUAGAGCUGAAUCGUGCAAUAUGAGUGAGGUGUUCCUCUCAGCUUCAAAACCAGCUCUGGGUUGUAAACAAGCUACCACUUCCUCUAUCCCUCUGAAGUAACAUCAAAGUUGGGGUGCAGGAUGGAAGACAGUACCAUAUCCCCCUCUGUCCCAUCUUGCAUGGCCUUGCUCGGAUGCUGCCCAGCAUCA